Triticum urartu is the source of this 1946-nucleotide non-coding RNA. The record is from RefSeq and is a predicted model, not a curated record. Lineage: Eukaryota; Viridiplantae; Streptophyta; Magnoliopsida; Poales; Poaceae.
CUUAAGAAAAUCAUUGUCAUGUAAUCUGAUAUAUCAUUAGGUUAUUUGUAAUACUGCUGCAAUUUCUUAUAUAGUUACAAUAAUUUAAUGUGUAGGUGACAAGGCUUUGGAGCCAUGGUUUUCUUAGGUAGCUUUAUUAGGGCAUCGAACUAUUUGGUGCUACAAUUGUUGUAAAUGUCUAACUUUGUAAGAUAUUCAUCAUUGGUUCAUCAUAGUAUGCUUUCUUCUGUGCCUUGUUUCACAGGCUUGCUCUCACUGCUGCUCUAGACAGGGAACGUUGAUGACAACAUACAGGUAACUCUUUCGAAAUCAUGGAUAGCAUAAAUAUACAGUUGUAUGAUUAAAUUUGAGGUUAUUUCUUAAACCGGCAUAUACUUUCCUUGCAUUGAGAGCACAAUUUAUAAUCAAAUGGAAACGGCAUACCUUUCUUUACUUGGAAGUUGGAACAUGGCAUCCAGCGGAGGAAGAUGAGUACCAUAUAUGUAUAUCAGUUUAUCGCGAGCUCUAAAAAGGUUUUCGUCUAUUGCUUUCGCACAUCAGGCUUUUUCCUGAUUGUCGCCAGUACAAAAAGAGCUUGCUGACAUGUAUAGAAGAAUGGAAUACACGUUCUUGAAAUGAAGCAACUUAUUAAACAAAACCAUGGCGAUGUGUACUCCUUGCCGCUGAUUUAUUGAGAUCCAGCUGAAAAUAAGGGGAAAACAAACAUCAUCCUGCCAUUAAGUUAUCUCAUAUUUAUGGAGAAAAGUUACACAGUUAGCUAUUGCAAAAAUACUAAAAUUCAUGUAUGUAUCCGGCUUCAUUAUGGAGUUGAGAACGAAAUCAUUGGAAUUCUUAUGUUGAGAAAAGGCCAAUGGAAUAUUAUUAUUAUGUGUUACAAAGUUCAUACAAAGAAUAUAUAUUGUAGUGCUCUAAAUAUAAAUUAAAAUAUUACUAGGGUCCUUGGUUAAUGCAUUGUUUUUUCUUUUCCAUCCAGAAUGAUAUUAGAAGAUAAGGAAUUAGUAUGAGAUGCUUUAGGGGGUUAAACAAUUGGAUAAGAUUAAAUACAUGUUGUGCCGAAUUGGCAGUCCUUCGUCCGUAUUUUCUUGAUAAUGAUGCACCAUUUGGUGACAGGUUCUCUACAAAACUUAAAUUUACACUAGAAAUUAUUUGUUUUUAUGACACACAGCCGUGUAGCUGUGAUCUUAGAGUUAAGAUAUAAUGGAAAAGGGAUCUGAAAUGUGGUUUGUAUGACCGAAAACAUUCUUCACAUAUGGUUAGUUAUGACCGAAGACAGUGUGCUGUUUUUUAUUCCAUGCUCCAAAUAUUUCAUGUCCGAUUCAUAGACAUCCUUGAAUUGCUUAACGAUGAUGGCAUGUUUGGUGUUCAUAUUUUUGUCAGCCAAAUAAUAAUAGGUGCACUUGAUUGUUUGAGGAAAUGCCAACUGAAAGCUAAAUUCAGUUAGAAUUAGAUUUGUGCACGUGUGUUCUUGAUGCUUCAUGUACGACCAGUUCUCUCGAAUAAUGAGUUACUCCCUUAAUUUUACAAUAGAGAUAAUUUGUCAAAAUUGUGUUUUUGUGAACAUGCAUAGGGCCUCUCAGUCUUUAACCCUGACUAUAAAAAUCCAUUGAUGGAAGCCGGGGAGGGCCGAGAUGAACAUCCGGCUCCUGGGUCUAAGCCAUCGAGAUGAUAGAGACGAUGUUUCCAUGUCAUCUACUCCAGCAGCCGGACAAGGCAUAUAAAAACCAUGGAUCCUUGCUCCCCAGGCCGCAAAAUGAUCGCAGUGAUAUCUACGACCUCCUCCUAGGUGUAUUAAUCUCAAUCUCAUGUUUGGUUUUCUUCCCUUUUCUCUUCUAAUGAUGUAAUUUCUUUUACUAAGAUAACACCAUGUUUGUUGUAAUGCCUUAUUUGAUGUAAGAUCCCUUUUCUACUUUGAAUGAAUUUACUGCAUAUAUUUCUUAUUUAGUUUA